UACGUAGGGGGCGAGCGUUAUUCGGAAUUAUUGGGCGUAAAGAGUACGUAGGUGGUUUUGUAAGCGUGGGGUGAAAGACCGAAGCUUAACUUCGGUUAGCCUUGCGAACUGCAGGACUUGAGUGCAGGAGAGGAAAGUGGAAUUCCUAGUGUAGCGGUGAAAUGCGUAGAUAUUGGGAAGAACACCGGUGGCGAAGGCGACUUGCUGGGCAGCAACUGACGCUGAGGCGCGAAAGCCAGGGGAGCAAACGGGAUUAGAUACCCGUGUAGUCCCUGAGCGGGCU
This 283-nucleotide ribosomal RNA is filed under the name uncultured prokaryote. RNAcentral describes it as "partial 16S ribosomal RNA". It matches the Rfam family "Bacterial small subunit ribosomal RNA", at positions 524 to 805 of the family's 1533-position model. The record is from RNAcentral.